This is a long non-coding RNA of Peromyscus californicus insignis, 4136 nucleotides long. RefSeq lists it as uncharacterized. NCBI's taxonomy places the organism in Eukaryota, Metazoa, Chordata, Mammalia, Rodentia, Cricetidae. The record is from RefSeq and is a predicted model, not a curated record. The transcript has 3 exons.
CCUACCAGCCAUUGUGAACUUAGUCAUCGGAGUGGCUUCCCAGAAGCCUCCAACAACAGCAGACACAGUAGCCCUGCAGAGACGAGACUGCUUCCCUGGGUGGAGAAGUUGCAUUGGCAGUGCGAGCAGAGACAGUGUUAGCAGCAAAGAUCUGCAAGCUUUCUGCUGAGAAGAAGCUGCAGUGAGGAGCUAAAUAGAGAUGCUGUGCCGCAAGAGAGGUGAAUGGCAGAUGGCGGCAGCAGCGGCUUGGAGUGCGCCACAGAGACCAGACCCUGGCAGCUAGUGCCCAGCAGAGAUGCCACAGGAGAGGCAGCGGACAGACAGGCAGAUGAGACGUGUUCCUGCAUGUAAGAGCAGUGAGAAAUGCAGAGUUAACACAAAGCCGUGCUCCAGGCUGAAUGGCAAACAGGCUGAAACCUAGAGCAGCCUAGCUCCCAGCAACAGAGCCAUGUGGCUACCCUGGGAGUGAUUUUGGUUAUUUAAAAGCAGGACAGUGCACAGAGGAUUCCAGGACCCAAAGGGCCACAGGUGGAGCAGGACUGCCAGUGGAGGAGAUAAUGGAACCUGAGGAAGCCACAGCUCAUAGUGGCUUGGUUUCCUCUGGGAACAGGGUACUAAAUAGAGAGCUGCAGCUGGGGGGUACUUUGAGUCCUUAUGAGAUGAGGUGGUUGAGAGCCUCGGGACCUCCAGACACAGGAUCUCUGGGCUGAAAGCUGAAGACAAGAGAUAGACUGGGACUGUAAAAGCAAUGGGAGAAACCAGCAGCCUAAGAAGCUUGCAUAGUGAUUUGUGGUACCAAGGAAGCUAGAUAUCAGGAAGGAGGCUUUCAGGUGAUUGACCUACCUGACUUGAAGACCAGAGGUGAUUUCUUUAAGUGGUUAGUUUGCAGAUUAUUUCUGUCUGAAACUGGUCAUGUAUACCUAAGCUCACCCUGAGAUUCACUCAUGAGUGUUGCUAUAAUUCUUUCUGAUUCUUGAAGCUUCUAUUAUUUCUCUUCCACCUUUUCUCUCUUUCUUCUUUCUCUCUUUCUUCUUUCCCUCUUUCUUUCUUUCUUUCUUCCUUUCUUUCUUUCUUUCUUUCUUUCAUUGCUGUUGUUCUGCUUCUUGCUAGCUUUCCAUCUUCAUGCCCUGUUAUUUUUAUGCUUUCUAGCUCGCUCCAUAUCGAUUGCCACAUCUUUUGUUCCUUUUCUGCAGGUGAAUGUUCAUGAUUAUUUUGGUCUUUUCCUUGGCAUUGCCUCCUUACCUGAAGCCAUGCUUCCUCAUGACCCAUAGUCAUGCCUCUUUCUAAGGAAAGCUUCCAGUUCACAUUACUACUCUAAUGCAGACACCUGAUUCUUUUGAAACCAGAUGCAAUGGUGCCACUCAAUGUCAUAAAAAGUGAUAAUUUUGCAAGUGAUCAUUUGCUAUUUAAUAGACCACAAAUUUUCAUUUCUAGUGGAAACUUAGUGAGCUAUUUAUGAUUAUGAAUGUAGAAUUUAUGAUAUGUAGUAUAUACUCAAAAAUCCUGCACACUGCCCAAAUCUCUUUGAAGUGAAGAGUACAAUUAGCAUGCAAAGUUAUAUAAUUUUAUUUAUUCAUCAACAAAAUUUUACUAUGCAACAUGAAAUAAUUUGAAAUAUAAAAACCUUCAUGUUCCUGGUAUAUUCACCUGGUAUAUUCAAAAAUGAAAAUAGUGAGAUUAGAAAUUCAGGUAGGUAAGUUCUCUAAUAUCAAAAUUGAUAUACCAUAAUUUGUCUUAAAAAGAUAUCAAAUGACAAUCAUUUUAAUACCUUAUUUUAUUCUGUGUGUAAUAGUGAGCAGCUGUAAUCCUAGAACUUUGAAGGUAGAAGCAGGAAAACGAGGAGUUUAAUGUUAUCUUCAGCUGCAGAGCACAUUCAAGGCCACUCAGCACUACAGAAAAUGGAUCUCUGAACACCAAAAUAAGCAAGUAAAUGAAAAAUAUAAACAAAUAAAUACAAUUACUGGUAUUAAGAGAACAUUACUCUGCCAAAUAAUAUUCAAAAAGUCAUGGAUAUGUUAACUGACUAGUUUACAGAUGGCAAGAACCUGAAUUAGCUUUUCAUACUUACAUAACUUAGUCAAGAGGCCCAUGUUCACCCAACCUUGGCAACCAAGCCAAAAUAAUCCAACCCCAACAAUGAAGCCAAGGUUACCUAACCUAGGUCCCUGCAAAUCCAAGUAGCUUUCAUCUGAGACUGUGUGUCUAAGAAGCUCAGAAACAUUCUUCAUUGAUGAAGUAGAAUUGAAUAUAAGCAAAUAAUAAACUCAUGCUAACCACAUUCCAGUUAAAAAUUGAUAUGUUUCAAAGUUGUUUAACAAAUACACAGAUGGUUUGUCACACAUUUAAACCUAAUGAAUUGACUCAGUUACUGUUUUCAGAAUAGUAUGAUGAACUGUGCAUUAUGGUAGAACUUUGUGUGAGUUGUAUAAUUUCAUUCCUAAACAAACCUUUAGGACAAAUACUAUUGUGAUCAUCACUAGGAGAAUGAUUUAUGAUAUUAAAUAAGAUGCAAAGAAUGAGCAUGGGCCAUUUAGAAAUCAGCUGUAACAGGGUUAUGAAGGUGGCCUGAUAAACAAUCCCCUCUUUUCUCAGCUAGCUUGGGGAAACUUUGGACAGGGCAUUCUAGAGGAACACCCAGGUCUCCAGGGUAAUAGAGGUUAUUCAAAGAUUUAUAGAGGAGCAUGAGUAUUAUCAUCUACACAUCCUUUAUAGGUUAAUUUGUAUGUCUUUAUAAAAUUAGUUGUCUUUAGAUGCACAUAUAUUAUCAUUAUUUGUUUUAAUAGAAAAAUAUUAUGAUGCAUUCCAUCUCAAUGUAAACACUCAUAAUUUUCACAGAAAAACUCUGAACAUUAAACAUUAUUAUAAAACCUUAUAGUGAUGAUGAUACAGAAGAGAAAAUAUCUCAAUAGCGAAUAGCAGUUGCUGAAGAAAGGUGCAAAGGAAUCAGGCUGAUGGAGAACAUAAAGAUACUGUGGUAGACAUCUUAAUAGCAAAAAGUAUACCUUUUAUGAAAAACGUAACAGAACAUUCCAUGUGAACAUGUAACUGAAGGAAUUAAUAUGUGUGCGUAUGUUUAGAUUAAAUUUAUUUUUAUUUAUGUGUAUGUGAGGAUCUGUGCAAGUGUGUGUGGGUGUUCCAAGAAGGCCAGAAUAAAAGGUCAAAUCCCCUGGAACUGGAUUUACAUGUAUAAUCUGAGAACCAAACUCAGGUCUUACAGAAACAAACCACAUGCCCUUAACUGCUGGCCUGUCUCCACUCCAAAUGAAUGAAUUUUUAAAGCUAUUUCUGAUGCAGACAUCUUAACUCUCAAUUUUCUUGUGUAGAGUGGGCAUAGAUUUGUAUUCUGCAGAGUGAACCGUGUACAAAAUUUGAAAUAUGGGCAAGCCAGUAGAGGUCUUCGAAUAUUUAGUAACUGAGUCGAGAGCUAAGACACUGUGAAAGGGGUGUGUAAAGCAAGCAAAAGGUCUCAUCUACUGAAAAAUGUGUUUAAGUGGCCAUAAGAUUCGAUGUACAAGAAAAUAACUAUAAUGGGGUGAAAAAUGAAAUGCAAUAUUUAAUGUGCCCUCUGAAUGGGAUUUGCUUGUUUGGCAUUAAAAAUGUGGUUCCUUUAAAUGUAAAACACUUCUGCAUACUGUUUACAAAAAUAAACGGACUGUGAGAUGAAGACUAAGUUAGUGGGUUGAAGGGAAAGGAAAAGAAGGAAAGAAACGUGAGAUGGACAGGGACAAAGGAAGGUGUGAGUGAGAAAACAGAAAAGGAAGGAGAGAUUUGAACAGGAGUCAGUGAAGCACCCACACUCUCUUCUAGAGAGCCACUGCCAUGGACAUCGGCUGUCAGUCACAUUGUUCUAUCUUUGCCGUGGAGUUUUACUCGCCAGCACACACCACGAGUGCCAACCCAUGUCGAAAGCAACCAUUCAUGGUUGGGAAACCAAAUGAGGGAAGAACGUUGUCGGACUACAGAUGAAUCGUGAGAAGCACCGUCCUCUCGUCAGUCACCACAGUGAAGCUGCUGAGUGAAUUUAAAUGAUUCUCCGUCAGCGUUAGCCCACAGUGGACACGGCUCUUAGGCUUGACUUCACUAAGAGUCACUGCAGGAAAAUAACUUUGCUCCAUUAAUAAACAGUCAUAACUUGA